UGUUUUCAUCUACUAUUUCCAACCAGGUUCAGUAAGAAGAACAAGGAGAAUAUUGAUCCUUACAUAUACAUGCCCUUUGGGAAUGGACCUAGGAACUGCAUUGGCAUGAGAUUUGCACUCAUGAACAUGAAACUUGCUCUCAUACGAGUCCUGCAGAACUUCUCCUUCCACACUUGUAAAGAAACCCAGAUUCCUCUGACAUUAGGCUCAGACGCUAUUCUUCAGCCAGAAAAACCCAUUAUUCUGAAGGCUGUGACAAGGGAUGAGACCAUAAGAGGAGCCUGAUUUUCCCUAUGGACUUCUGCUAUGUUUUUUAGGAAGACUUUAGCUUAUUUUUGAAUAAAACCCAGAUGAAGAUGGGCUUAAAAUACUGUCCUUGAAAAGUUCUUAAGGAUUCAGUACACUCUUUGAGCUUGCUCUGUAUCUGUACAGCGUCUGUCUGUUGUGAGUAAAUGAGUGUCAGCUCUGUAGAUUCAUAUUUUCUGAUUCUAGUAGGACUAUCUCCAUCCAUCCCUAGGUGACACCAUCAGUUCCAUUUGAGCUCAGACCAGAGGACACAUUUCUCAGUAAUUUUAUCCACAAUUUUUAGUGAGAAUGAUAAUUAUAGCUCUGAGUGUAGCAAUAAAAUUUGUAAUAUUAUAUUAUAUUAUUUGAAAAUAUAAAUAAAUAUAUCUA
Molecule: long non-coding RNA, 675 nt
Organism: Chinchilla lanigera (long-tailed chinchilla)
Lineage: Eukaryota; Metazoa; Chordata; Mammalia; Rodentia; Chinchillidae
Exons: 2
Source: RefSeq, a predicted model, not a curated record